Molecule: unclassified non-coding RNA, 256 nt
Filed under: Hevea brasiliensis (rubber tree)
Lineage: Eukaryota; Viridiplantae; Streptophyta; Magnoliopsida; Malpighiales; Euphorbiaceae
Source: RNAcentral
AAUCAAACUAGAUUGAUGAGAAUUAAAAUGUGGUAGCACUUAUGCCAAGCUUUUCUCUUCAUUCUCUGAAGUGUCUGAAAUCUCUUAAUUGUAUUUGAACCAUUACAUAGGUGAGCCUAUUUAUAGACAAAGACAAGGGACUAAAGAGAAAAAUUACAAAGAAACUAAUUAGGAAAUAAAGAAAUACAGAUAUGGAAGAAAUCCCAAUAGAAAUAGGAAAAGAAAAGUAAAAGAUUCCUAAUUAAUAAAAUGCUAG